AUCCGGAUCGAGGACAGUGUAUGGUGGGCAGUUUGACUGGGGCGGUCUCCUCCUAAAGAGUAACGGAGGAGUACGAAGGUGCGCUCAGACCGGUCGGAAAUCGGUCGUAGAGUAUAAAGGCAAAAGCGCGCUUGACUGCGAGACAGACACGUCGAGCAGGUACGAAAGUAGGUCUUAGUGAUCCGGUGGUUCUGUAUGGAAGGGCCAUCGCUCAACGGAUAAAAGGUACUCCGGGGAUAACAGGCUGAUACCGCCCAAGAGUUCAUAUCGACGGCGGUGUUUGGCACCUCGAUGUCGGCUCAUCACAUCCUGGGGCUGAAGCCGGUCCCAAGGGUAUGGCUGUUCGCCAUUUAAAGUGGUACGCGAGCUGGGUUUAGAACGUCGUGAGACAGUUCGGUCCCUAUCUGCCGUGGACGUUUGAGAUUUGAGAGGGGCUGCUCCUAGUACGAGAGGACCGGAGUGGACGAACCUCUGGUGUUCCGGUUGUCACGCCAGUGGCAUUGCCGGGUAGCUAUGUUCGGAAAAGAUAACCGCUGAAAGCAUCUAAGCGGGAAACUUGCCUCAAGAUGAGAUCUCACUGGGAACUUGAUUCCCCUGAAGGGCCGUCGAAGACUACGACGUUGAUAGGCUGGGUGUGUAAGCGUUGUGAGGCGUUGAGCUAACCAGUACUAAUUGCCCGUGAGGCUUGACCAU
RNAcentral lists this ribosomal RNA (693 nucleotides) under Pseudomonas aeruginosa. Its description in RNAcentral is "partial 23S ribosomal RNA". It matches the Rfam family "Bacterial large subunit ribosomal RNA", at positions 2238 to 2925 of the family's 2925-position model. Lineage: Bacteria; Pseudomonadati; Pseudomonadota; Gammaproteobacteria; Pseudomonadales; Pseudomonadaceae. The record is from RNAcentral.